AUACGGAGGAUGCAAGCGUUAUCCGGAUUUAUUGGGUUUAAAGGGUGCGUAGGCGGUUUGCUAAGCGGGAGGUGAAAUGCCGGCGCUCAACGUCGGAAGUGCCUCCCGAACUGGUGGACUUGAAUGACUCUGCCGUGGGAUGAAUGUGUAGUGUAGCGGUGAAAUGCUUAGAGAUUACACAGAACACCGAUUGCGAAGGCAUCUCACGAAGGGUUGAUUGACGCUGAGGCACGAAAGCGUGGGGAUCAAACAGGAUUAGAUACCCUGGUAGUCCACGCAGUAAACGAUGAUGGCUAACCGCUGGGCUUAUCAGUUCAGUGGCCAAGCGAAAGCGAUAAGCCAUCCACCUGGGGAGUACGACCGCAAGGUUGAAACUCAAAGGAAUUGACGGGG
This 393-nucleotide ribosomal RNA is filed under the name uncultured bacterium. Its description in RNAcentral is "partial 16S ribosomal RNA". It matches the Rfam family "Bacterial small subunit ribosomal RNA", at positions 523 to 918 of the family's 1533-position model. The record is from RNAcentral.